CAGCAGUCGCCGCGGUAAUACGUAGGGUGCGAGCGUUGUCCGGAAUUACUGGGCGUAAAGAGCUCGUAGGCGGUUUGUCGCGUCGUCUGUGAAAUUCUGCAGCUUAACUGCAGGCGUGCAGGCGAUACGGGCAGACUUGAGUACUACAGGGGAGACUGGAAUUCCUGGUGUAGCGGUGAAAUGCGCAGAUAUCAGGAGGAACACCGGUGGCGAAGGCGGGUCUCUGGGUAGUAACUGACGCUGAGGAGCGAAAGCGUGGGUAGCGAACAGGAUUAGAUACCCCCGUAGUCCCUGUCUCUUAUAC
This 304-nucleotide ribosomal RNA is filed under the name uncultured bacterium. Its description in RNAcentral is "partial 16S ribosomal RNA". It matches the Rfam family "Bacterial small subunit ribosomal RNA", at positions 509 to 807 of the family's 1533-position model. The record is from RNAcentral.